Molecule: long non-coding RNA, 431 nt
Organism: Anneissia japonica
Lineage: Eukaryota; Metazoa; Echinodermata; Crinoidea; Comatulida; Comatulidae
Exons: 3
Source: RefSeq, a predicted model, not a curated record
UUUGGUAGUGAUGGGUUAUACAAAUAAACAAAUUGCUGAAGAAAUGGAGGUAAGCGUAAGCACCAUAAAAAGCCUCGGGCGUAAUUUCCCAUUAAGAAAGAGUGACCUUUCGAGUGAUAUCAGCGUGAAUAUUCUGUAAAAGUCUAAUCAUUGCAAAAUGCACUUCUGAAGAUAUCAGCAAACCCGUAGACCAGUAGAUAAUGUUGCUUUCUCGUUUUGUGCUCGUUAAUUUUUGCUGAAUGGGAACCAGUGGUCUCAUCCUGUGCUGCUCUAUUUCUAUGUUGCUUUUAUUGGUUUUGGGAUUGUCUUUCUAGAUAAUUGCAUGGUUCUAGUAUUUAAAAUAUUCAUUGUAUUUCAUUUAGUAUUUGAAAAAAUAAAUAUUCAUUGUAUAAUUGGCUUUUUAAAUAAUUGCAUGAUUCUAGUAUUGAAAA